UACGGGGGGAGCAAGCGUUGUUCGGAUUUACUGGGCGUAAAGGGCGCGUAGGCGGCGUGACAAGUCACUUGUGAAAUCUCCGGGCUUAACCCGGAGCGGCCAAGUGAUACUGUCGUGCUAGAGUGCGGAAGGGGCUACUGGAAUUCUCGGUGUAGCGGUGAAACGCGUAGAUAUCGAGAGGAACACCUGCGGCGAAGGCGGGUAGCUGGGCUGACACUGACGCUGAGGCGCGAAAGCCAGGGGAGCAAACGGG
This 253-nucleotide ribosomal RNA is filed under the name uncultured bacterium. Its description in RNAcentral is "partial 16S ribosomal RNA". It matches the Rfam family "Bacterial small subunit ribosomal RNA", at positions 524 to 776 of the family's 1533-position model. The record is from RNAcentral.